UGGGGAAUUUUGGACAAUGGGCGAAAGCCUGAUCCAGCAAUGCCGCGUGUGUGAAGAAGGCCUUCGGGUUGUAAAGCACUUUUGUCCGGAAAGAAAUCCUUGGCUCUAAUACAGUCGGGGGAUGACGGUACCGGAAGAAUAAGCACCGGCUAACUACGUGCCAGCAGCCGCGGUAAUACGUAGGGUGCAAGCGUUAAUCGGAAUUACUGGGCGUAAAGCGUGCGCAGGCGGUUUGCUAAGACCGAUGUGAAAUCCCCGGGCUCAACCUGGGAACUGCAUUGGUGACUGGCAGGCUAGAGUAUGGCAGAGGGGGGUAGAAUUCCACGUGUAGCAGUGAAAUGCGUAGAGAUGUGGAGGAAUACCGAUGGCGAAGGCAGCCCCCUGGGCCAAUACUGACGCUCAUGCACGAAAGCGUGGGGAGCAAACAGGAUUAGAUACCCUGGUAGUCCACGCCCUAAACGAUGUCAACUAGUUGUUGGGAUCAUUCCUUAGUAACGUAGCUAACGCGUGAAGUUGACCGCCUGGGGAGUACGGUCGCAAGAUUAAAACUCAAAUGAAUUGACGGGGUCAUAGCUGUUUCCU
RNAcentral lists this ribosomal RNA (582 nucleotides) under uncultured bacterium. Its description in RNAcentral is "partial 16S ribosomal RNA". It matches the Rfam family "Bacterial small subunit ribosomal RNA", at positions 355 to 1375 of the family's 1533-position model. The record is from RNAcentral.